GAUGAACGCUGGCGGCGUGCCUAAUACAUGCAAGUCGAGCGAACAGAUAAGGAGCUUGCUCCUUUGACGUUAGCGGCGGACGGGUGAGUAACACGUGGGUAACCUACCUAUAAGACUGGAAUAACUCCGGGAAACCGGGGCUAAUGCCGGAUAACAUUUAGAACCGCAUGGUUCUAAAGUGAAAGAUGGUUUUGCUAUCACUUAUAGAUGGACCCGCGCCGUAUUAGCUAGUUGGUAAGGUAACGGCUUACCAAGGCAACGAUACGUAGCCGACCUGAGAGAGUGAUCGGCCACACUGGAACUGAGACACGGUCCAGACUCCUACGGGAGGCAGCAGUAGGGAAUCGUCCGCAAUGGGCGAAAGCCUGACGGAGCAACGCCGCGUGAGUGAUGAAGGUCUUCGGAUCGUAAAACUCUGUUAUUAGGGAAGAACAAAUGUGUAAGUAACUGUGCACGUCUUGACGGUACCUAAUCAGAAAGCCACGGCUAACUACGUG
Molecule: ribosomal RNA, 497 nt
Filed under: uncultured bacterium
Lineage: Bacteria
Description: partial 16S ribosomal RNA
Rfam family: Bacterial small subunit ribosomal RNA
Source: RNAcentral